Molecule: ribosomal RNA, 799 nt
Filed under: Vibrio sp. DJCJ15
Lineage: Bacteria; Pseudomonadati; Pseudomonadota; Gammaproteobacteria; Vibrionales; Vibrionaceae
Description: bacterial SSU rRNA
Rfam family: Bacterial small subunit ribosomal RNA
Source: RNAcentral
CCUGAUGCAGCCAUGCCGCGUGUGUGAAGAAGGCCUUCGGGUUGUAAAGCACUUUCAGUCGUGAGGAAGGUGGUGUAGUUAAUAGCUGCAUUAUUUGACGUUAGCGACAGAAGAAGCACCGGCUAACUCCGUGCCAGCAGCCGCGGUAAUACGGAGGGUGCGAGCGUUAAUCGGAAUUACUGGGCGUAAAGCGCAUGCAGGUGGUUAGUUAAGUCAGAUGUGAAAGCCCGGGGCUCAACCUCGGAACUGCAUUUGAAACUGGCUGACUAGAGUACUGUAGAGGGGGGUAGAAUUUCAGGUGUAGCGGUGAAAUGCGUAGAGAUCUGAAGGAAUACCGGUGGCGAAGGCGGCCCCCUGGACAGAUACUGACACUCAGAUGCGAAAGCGUGGGGAGCAAACAGGAUUAGAUACCCUGGUAGUCCACGCCGUAAACGAUGUCUACUUGGAGGUUGUGGCCUUGAGCCGUGGCUUUCGGAGCUAACGCGUUAAGUAGACCGCCUGGGGAGUACGGUCGCAAGAUUAAAACUCAAAUGAAUUGACGGGGGCCCGCACAAGCGGUGGAGCAUGUGGUUUAAUUCGAUGCAACGCGAAGAACCUUACCUACUCUUGACAUCCAGAGAACUUAGCAGAGAUGCUUUGGUGCCUUCGGGAACUCUGAGACAGGUGCUGCAUGGCUGUCGUCAGCUCGUGUUGUGAAAUGUUGGGUUAAGUCCCGCAACGAGCGCAACCCUUAUCCUUGUUUGCCAGCGAGUAAUGUCGGGAACUCCAGGGAGACUGCCGGUGAUAAACCGGAGGAAGG